CAUCUGUGUCCCUUUGGACACAUUCCCCAUAUAUUUUUUUAGAAGUUACUAUUAAUUAAAAUUGAUUUUAACCAUGACAUUUUAUAUUUUAAAAUUUUAUGAUGUAUUUAAAUGAGUAGUUAUUGUUGCAAACUCCAUUAGAUUGAAUUGAGAUUUGGAAUAAGGGAAAGGGGGAGAUGAAAAAGAAAAAAAAAAUUGGGGGGUGUUCAAUUUUUCAGAUCUCUGAAAUAAAAAGAAAAUUUCUUCAAACAUAUUUUUUUUGACAGGAUAUUCAACAGCAAAGUGAAUUGCUCAAAAGCAAAAAAAAAUGUUUAAGUUCAUUAGACCACAUUCAUUCUGUGUCAGAAACCUAUGCUGUGUCAACUAUUUAAUCACAAUCCAAAUUCUGAGCUGAGUCCAGCUUAAAUGUUGUGUCCAUACUUGCCCCAAGUCAUAUAAAGCUGUGUCCUGCGGAGCAUCUGGUUACUUAUCAUUUGCCUCUUCUGUAUGAAGUGUAAAGUUGUUUAAAGUCAUCAUUUUUAAAUAAGUGGGCUCAAUUCUGUCAAACUUUACUUGAAUGUUUCUUAGUGCAUCUGGUUUGUAAAUUAUACCUAGUAUUAAAACCAAAAAAAUAAAAUAAAAUCACAAAAAUACUGAAAUUAGUGGACAAUCUAAUCGGAAAGUCCAUAAUAACAUGGCAAAAUCAAAUAACAAAACACAUCAAAAACGAAUGGACAAGAACUGUCAUAUUUCUGACUUGGUACAGGCAUUUUCAAAUGCAGAAAAUGGUGGAUUAAAGAUAAGAUAAGAUAAGAUAAGAUAAAUAAUAGUUUAUUAAAGUGUCACAUAUUGAUCUACAUUAAAAUACAUAAAAACGUUAACAUCAUAAAAAAAAAGGAUCAAUACCCAGCCUAUAAAGACUUACGAGACACUGUAUAUACAAAUAAAAGCUAUAACAGUUAUACUGAAGGAAAAUGUUUUUUAUAAAAAGGCAUAGUCAUGCAUUACAUGAUUUAAAACUCAUUAAAUAUGUACACACAAUUAUAAAAUAUCUAUUCAUGAAUGCUUCAAAAUAAUAAUAUAGAAC
RNAcentral lists this long non-coding RNA (1066 nucleotides) under Mytilus galloprovincialis (Mediterranean mussel). The record is from RNAcentral. Lineage: Eukaryota; Metazoa; Mollusca; Bivalvia; Mytilida; Mytilidae.